This 465-nucleotide ribosomal RNA is filed under the name uncultured bacterium. RNAcentral describes it as "partial 16S ribosomal RNA". It matches the Rfam family "Bacterial small subunit ribosomal RNA", at positions 330 to 792 of the family's 1533-position model. The record is from RNAcentral.
UCCAGACUCCUACGGGAGGCAGCAGUGAGGAAUAUUGGUCAAUGGGCGCAAGCCUGAACCAGCCAAGUCGCGUGAGGGAAGACGGCCCUACGGGUUGUAAACCUCUUUUGCCGGGGAGCAAGCCUGAGCACGUGUGCCCAGGCGGAGAGUACCCGGAGAAAAAGCAUCGGCUAACUCCGUGCCGGCAGCCGCGGUAAUACGGAGGAUGCGAGCGUUAUCCGGAUUUAUUGGGUUUAAAGGGUGCGUAGGCGGACAGUAAAGCCGGCGGUAAAAGCCGGGGCCUCACCCCCGGCGAGCCGUUGAAACUGGCUGUCUUGAGAUGUCGAGAGGUAUGCGGAAUGCGCAGUGUAGCGGUGAAAUGCUUAGAUAUUGCGCAGAACUCCGAUUGCGAAGGCAGCAUACCGGCGGCGAUCUGACGCUGAGGCACGAAAGCGUGGGUAUCGAACAGGAUUAGAUACCCUUGUA